UACACUUCGAAUUGGGCUCAAAGAGAUUUUUUUUUUAUAGGUAAAAGUGAAAUUAUAUUGAUAAGAAAAGGCAUAGCCCAAGUACACAGGGAGUAUACAUCGAAUAUUAUGCCUAAUUACCACUAAGCACUAGUGAGAGAUACAAGCAAAUCAUGAAAAUAGGAGGCAAAUUAAAAAUAUUGAAGGGUUAGAGAGGGCUGAAAAUAGGAGGCAAAGUUGCAGGAUUUUCUGGACAGUGUAGGAUCUAGGAAGGGGUUUGGGUUUUAUGGUGGCAAAGGUAGGUGAAGUUUAGGAACUCAGUGUUUCGAAUAGAGAAAGAAAAGAGGUUUGGUUUGGAGGCAUAGCAAGGAAGAAAUUUGAAGUUUUGGUGUCUAGCCUGUUAAUGGUAACCCAGAAACUUUGUUUUCGCUUUGGAGUUGUUUGGGCGCUAAUUAAAUGAAGAAUAUUUCAGAUUUUAGACAAAGAAUGGUUCAGGAGUUUGUGACAGAUAGAGCUAUUCAUAAAAAUUGACUUUCAAGAAGAUUGCAUGUCCUCCAUGAGCUGAAGGUCUUGUCUGGAAAGGGUUAGGUGGCAGCCCACAAAUUGCAGUAGUGUGAAAAAUGCUCCCCAUUAUUUACCUUUACCUUAUUUGCUGUAUAUGGAAUGAAAGCAAUGAUUGGAUCUUUGACGACCACAAACAGUUGCUGGAGGAGCUCAAAACCCUUAUCUUUUCUUUAUCAAUACAAUCGUCCAUUGGGACAGCUUCAACCGACUGUAAUGGGCUAAAAUUCCAUGAUUUUCUUGUAUCUUUUUCUCCUUCUAGAUAGGUGUCUGUCUUGUAUCAAUAAAGUUUUUGUACCUAUCAGAAGAAAGGUGUCUGUCUUGCAUACGUUUAGUGUACUUUGGUAGCUCCUUUUGCUCUCUUUAAUAAAGAUUUCUCACUUCUAACAUAACAAAGAGCUGAUCAUAUUUUUGUGAGGUGUGAGGGAGAUUUGUGUACCAAAAUGAAGGGUUUCAAAAGGAUUUCAUGUGCUCGUGGUUCUUCAGAGUUUUUGCUAAGCUGUAGGGUGACUCUUUAUUGCCGUAUGAAAGAAGACAGAUAGUAGAACUUAUUAUACUUUUAGAAAUUAAAUCUUCAAUCACUUUCUUACAACCACUGAAGUCCUGAGCAAAAAAAGGGGAAUGCAUUAUUGAUGUCAUCAAUUUGAUAAUUGAAGUUUGGCCUUUAUUUCUUUGUCAGUUCUAUGAUUUUCCUUUAAUCUUGGACAAGUUUCUUGUUUCCACAAAUUUCUUCAGUUUUCAAUUCAGAGUUACAUCAGAUAUGCGGUACAUCAAAAGCGUGCUGACACAAAGAGAGUUCUUAAAGACCUCUUCAAAAGCCAUUGAAAAAGUUAAAGUCAUCUCAGAAGUGAUGAUGGCAAUUUCACAUUAUAGAUUUGGGUGCUUGAGGAUGAUGAGAGUUCAUAUGGGAACACACUCGUCUGCAGAGGAGAGUCAUUCAUAUAGCUUUGAUAAGAAAGGUCAAUCAAAGUUCUCGCCAAGCUGAAAAAACUCACAAGAAACUAAAACGCGUAUGUCGUGGAACAAACUAGUUCAGUGGUUGGGUUGAGGGCUAAUGGGUUGAGGGCUAAAGUGACCAAGUAAUUCUCCAAUAUUUCCCAAUUUCAG
This is a long non-coding RNA of Juglans regia (Persian walnut), 1647 nucleotides long. RefSeq lists it as uncharacterized. Lineage: Eukaryota; Viridiplantae; Streptophyta; Magnoliopsida; Fagales; Juglandaceae. The record is from RefSeq and is a predicted model, not a curated record. The transcript has 3 exons.